RNAcentral lists this unclassified non-coding RNA (720 nucleotides) under Hevea brasiliensis (rubber tree). Lineage: Eukaryota; Viridiplantae; Streptophyta; Magnoliopsida; Malpighiales; Euphorbiaceae. The record is from RNAcentral.
UGCCCAAAUUUAAACAACGGUUCUCUGCAUUUGAUAGGAUUAAAUCAAAUAUCAGUAGAAAGCAACCAGAUUAUCUGCUCAAAAGAAUUCCCAGGAAGAUUGAGUGAGACAAGUUGAACUGAAUUGCUGUCAAGUAUGAUUUCAUAUCCAUAUUAUCAUCAAGCAAUGUCAAAUAAUUUCCACAACAUAUAUGAAUAUUCUACCAAGCCUUUUGCUGCAUCCCAGUACAUUUAAGCACAAGCGCAAGUAAGCUAACUGCUGCCUUAACCUAGUAGUACACAUGAGGCUUUUUAGAGAGUAAGUGCUAGGGUUCAAAUCUCACCAAUGAUGAGUCACUACGAGAGAGCUGAAAUUUUCACCCAAAAUAUGCUCACUUGCUGAAACUCACUCAGAACUUAAUCAUUUACUUGGCUCCGUAAAUAAAUAACUGAAAUCCAAGUAUUUAAAAUUGAGAUCUUAAUUCAAAUAACAUAAACAAAGGUCAAGGAAGAAAGGGAAAUAAAUUCCACCAGAGCUUUUUGAGAAUGUAAUUGAAAUAAUACCUUAUCCUUAGCUAAUUUAAAUCCAUCCUACGAUAAGUUUUUCAUCUCUUCCAAGAAUUUUAUAGGAACUAAUAAAAAUAAAACUAAAUAAUUAAACCUCAUCCAAGUUAUUUAAAUAAAAGAAUGAAUCCAAGUCCCCCCUCCCAAAUCCAUAAAGCCAAAUGCAACCUUAAGGAAU